UGGCGCGGUGAAUACGUUCCCGGACCUUGUACACACCGCCCGUCAAGCCAUGGAAGUCGGGGAGACCUGAAGCCGGAUGUCAAAACUCCGGUAAGGGUAAAACCGGUAACUGGGGCU
RNAcentral lists this ribosomal RNA (117 nucleotides) under uncultured bacterium. RNAcentral describes it as "partial 16S ribosomal RNA". It matches the Rfam family "Bacterial small subunit ribosomal RNA", at positions 1355 to 1482 of the family's 1533-position model. The record is from RNAcentral.